Small nucleolar RNA from Haemorhous mexicanus (house finch), 133 nucleotides. RefSeq annotates it as small nucleolar RNA SNORA13. The record is from RefSeq and is a predicted model, not a curated record. Lineage: Eukaryota; Metazoa; Chordata; Aves; Passeriformes; Fringillidae. The transcript has a single exon.
GGCCUUUGUGUUGCCCAUUCAUUCCUGUCCAGAAUGGAUGUGGUGUCAAAAAAGGCAAACAAGAAUUCUUGCUCAAGCUGGUUUAGAGAGCUGGUUAUAUACCUUCCUCCUCUCUGUUUUUGCAAGGACAAAA